Molecule: ribosomal RNA, 468 nt
Filed under: uncultured bacterium
Lineage: Bacteria
Description: partial 16S ribosomal RNA
Rfam family: Bacterial small subunit ribosomal RNA
Source: RNAcentral
GACGAACGCUGGCGGCGUGCUUAACACAUGCAAGUCGAACGGAAAGGCCCUGCUUUUGUGGGGUGCUCGAGUGGCGAACGGGUGAGUAACACGUGAGUAACCUGCCCUUGACUUUGGGAUAACUUCAGGAAACUGGGGCUAAUACCGGAUAGGAGCUCCUGCUGCAUGGUGGGGGUUGGAAAUUUUCGGCGGUUGGGGAUGGACUCGCGGCUUAUCAGCUUGUUGGUGGGGUAGUGGCUUACCAAGGCUUUGGCGGGUAGCCGGCCUGGGAGGGUGACCGGCCACAUUGGGACUGAGAUACGGCCCAGACUCCUACGGGAGGCAGCAGUGGGGAAUAUUGCACAAUGGGCGGAAGCCUGAUGCAGCAACGCCGCGUGCGGGAUGACGGCCUUCGGGUUGUAAACCGCUUUCGCCUGUGACGAAGCGUGAGUGACGGUAAUGGGUAAAGAAGCACCGGCUAACUACGUG